GUUUGGUUAAGUUAGAAAGGGCGCACGGUGGAUGCCUUGACACUAGGAGUCGAUGAAGGACGGGACUAACGCCGAUAUGCUUCGGGGAGCUGUAAGUAAGCUUUGAUCCGAAGAUUUCCGAAUGGGGAAACCCACCAUACGUAAUGGUAUGGUAUCCUUAUCUGAAUACAUAGGGUAAGGAAGACAGACCCAGGGAACUGAAACAUCUAAGUACCUGGAGGAAGAGAAAGCAAAUGCGAUUUCCUGAGUAGCGGCGAGCGAAACGGAACAUAGCCCAAACCAAGAGGCUUGCCUCUUGGGGUUGUAGGACAUUCUAUACGGAGUUACAAAGGAACGAGGUAGACGAAGCGACCUGGAAAGGUCCGUCGUAGAGGGUAACAACCCCGUAGUCGAAACUUCGUUCUCUCUUGAAUGUAUCCUGAGUACGGCGGAACACGUGAAAUUCCGUCGGAAUCUGGGAGGACCAUCUCCCAAGGCUAAAUACUCCCUAGUGAUCGAUAGUGAACCAGUACCGUGAGGGAAAGGUGAAAAGCACCCCGGAAGGGGAGUGAAAGAGAUCCUGAAACCGUGUGCCUACAAAUAGUCAGAGCCCGUUAACGGGUGAUGGCGUGCCUUUUGUAGAAUGAACCGGCGAGUUACGAUCCCGUGCGAGGUUAAGCUGAAGAGGCGGAGCCGCAGCGAAAGCGAGUCUGAAUAGGGCGUUUAGUACGUGGUCGUAGACCCGAAACCAGGUGAUCUACCCAUGUCCAGGGUGAAGUUCAGGUAACACUGAAUGGAGGCCCGAACCCACGCACGUUGAAAAGUGCGGGGAUGAGGUGUGGGUAGCGGAGAAAUUCCAAUCGAACCUGGAGAUAGCUGGUUCUCCCCGAAAUAGCUUUAGGGCUAGCCUUAAGUGUAAGAGUCUUGGAGGUAGAGCACUGAUUGGACUAGGGGUCCUCAUCGGAUUACCGAAUUCAGUCAAACUCCGAAUGCCAAUGACUUAUCCUUAGGAGUCAGACUGCGAGUGAUAAGAUCCGUAGUCAAAAGGGAAACAGCCCAGACCGCCAGCUAAGGUCCCAAAGUGUGUAUUAAGUGGAAAAGGAUGUGGAGUUGCUUAGACAACUAGGAUGUUGGCUUAGAAGCAGCCACCAUUUAAAGAGUGCGUAAUAGCUCACUAGUCGAGUGACUCUGCGCCGAAAAUGUACC
RNAcentral lists this ribosomal RNA (1185 nucleotides) under Bacillus anthracis (anthrax bacterium). RNAcentral describes it as "bacterial LSU rRNA". It matches the Rfam family "Bacterial large subunit ribosomal RNA", at positions 1 to 1176 of the family's 2925-position model. Lineage: Bacteria; Bacillati; Bacillota; Bacilli; Caryophanales; Bacillaceae. The record is from RNAcentral.